CACAACAGAAAAUAUGAUAAGGCUAUUGGCAUUCGCGGACCGGCUGAAAUAUUUUUAUUUCACCCAUGUCUUAUUGCGCACUUGUUUGUUUCCAUGGGCGGGUUCGCCCGCCACCAGGACCAAACCAUAAACCUUUUUUGUAUAUGCAGUGCAAUCAGCGUCAUGAAAAAUAUAAUAUAUUAUA
This 184-nucleotide unclassified non-coding RNA is filed under the name soil metagenome. Its description in RNAcentral is "partial internal transcribed spacer 1". The record is from RNAcentral.